Long non-coding RNA from Oncorhynchus masou masou (cherry salmon), 597 nucleotides. RefSeq lists it as uncharacterized. NCBI's taxonomy places the organism in Eukaryota, Metazoa, Chordata, Actinopteri, Salmoniformes, Salmonidae. The transcript has 2 exons. The record is from RefSeq and is a predicted model, not a curated record.
UCUGUGAGGGGCCAUCGGUGUGAGAGCUCACUCAAUAGUUAUUGGCAGCCCCUAACAUGGAAAACAUAAAGUGCUGGCGCGCCAUUUUAGCUGGCAACGAUGUGAGAGGGAAGUCCCAUUCUCCGCCAAAGAAGAGGAAAUCACUGGCCGUCACUAACCAGUUCCAGGACCAUGGAGAGUUCUUCUAAUGGCGUGCCAUCAACGGAAAUUUCACUAUUAACGGAAACUUCACUAUUCUCCCAGAAAUCGCCAGCAAGAUGUCCAUACACUUCAGGCCAUUGGACGAUUGUAGUCUUGUAGUCCAAUCUGAUGUCUUCUGACAGCAAGAUCCCCUGGGGAUCCAUCUAAAAUCCAUGAACGGCUGAGAUGGAUUGCUUGGGUAAAGCAACCCUCAUGGACUUCAAACCACCCACCAUUACUCAUGCAUGAAAAUAUUAUUGCCUUUUACUCCAUCAAUACUUUAAGACUACUUACUCAGUCAAUGGUUUAGUAAUUAGAUAGUCAGAGCAUUUGGCUUGGUGGUGUUGUACAGAUGUGUUGAUGCUAUAGGGUUUUAAAUAAAUGAUCUGUUACACUUGCUAACUAUCUCUGCUCACC